AACCGGCGAAAGGGAAGCGGCGCAGCGCCCGACAGAUCAGGAGGGGGCCACGCGCCAUCUCGCCACGGGGACAGCGGCCAAUGAGGCGCCGCCCAAAUCUCCUCGCCGCCUCCUGAGUGGCUCGCGGCCGCUGGCCUUCUUUCGCAUUUGGGCUUCCGCGAGCCAAUUGGCUUUGCGCUGGCCAGCGGGAGAGAAGAAAGCUCGCAGGGCGCUGCACAUAUUUCCGCCCCGCCUUCGCUGCUGCUCUGAGCGCUUAUCCCAUUGGUGGCGCUGUGUUGUAAAGCACUGAGCCUCUUGGGCUUGCAGAUCGGAAGGUUGGCGGUUUGAAUCCGCGCGGUGGGGUGAGCUCCCGUUGUCCUGUCCCAGCUCCUGCUAACCUAGCAGUUCGAAAAGCACGCAGUGCAAGUAAAUAAAUAGGUGCUGCUGCAACGGGAAGGUAAAUAGCGUUUCUGUGAGCUCUGGUUUCCCUUGUGUAAGGGAGUCAUUGGAGCACCCCACAGUUGCCUAACCUUGGCUCACAUAGGUUCGCAUGGGGGGGUCACAAGCAAGAGACUUCAGCCAGGAGAUAGAAGCAAAAAAGUGGCCUCUAGGCCUGAUCUUUAUUGUUGCAACAAGACUUCCCACUACCACAAAGACGAAGCAGCCAGAAGCCCCGAACAAUGGUUACAUCAUUAUUUUAAAGUUUCCCAUAAUACAUCUCAGGAUGCAUCCUCAAGACAUCAUAGAUAUUUCACAGAAAAGGUGUGGUCUUAGGUAGAACCUGAGAUUCAGGCAUGCCCCUGUCAAAUCAAAUACAGUUGUACCUUGGAAGUCGAACGGAAUCCGUUCUGGAAGUCCGUUCAACUUCCAAAACGUUCGGAAACCAAAGCGCAGCUUCUGAUUGGCUACAGGAAGCUCCUGCAGCCAAUCGGAAGCCGAGGAAGCCCUGUCAGACGUUCAGCUUCCAAAAAUAGUUCGCAAACUGGAACAGUCACUUUGGGUUUGCUUUGUUCGGGAGCCAAAAUGUUUGAGAACUAAGCAGUUCAAAAACCAAGGUACGACUGUAUAGUCUUUCACAUGUACUCCUUCGCAGUACAGUGGUACCUCGGGUUAAGAACUUAAUUCAUUCUGGAGGUCCGUUCUUAACCUGAAACUGUUCUUGGGGACUUUCGCUUGAGGUUCCACGGAAGAUGGCCGACAAUACCAUCUCUCCAGCUCCCACGAGGCAAUUUAGAGGCUGAGAUGGGAGUAAUCAGCCUCCCAAAUUCUUCCCGGUGUAAGGGAAGAUGCAGUCUCAUCCGCGGAUGCCCGAUAAACCACCCCCAAGUUCGUAAAGAAGGAGGGGGCACUGGAUGGAAAGCCCCUGAGGGAGUUCGGAUCUCCUGGACACUGUCCCCGCGAGUGCACCAAGUUCCAUUUCUUAAGAUGAAAAAUUGGAUAUAAGUUUUGGACAAGAAAAAAAGGGUUUUCUUGUGUGUGUUUCUUUGUGGCUGAUUAGCUGCUCUCCCUGUGCAAAGGUCAGAGGGGGCAGGGUUUCUGUUGAGGCAGGUGAUUAGCUGUGGGAGGAGCUUAUCAGAGCUUGCAGGGCAGCAGCUGAAGAAGGAGCAAAAAGGGUUUUCUUGUGUGUGUGUUUCUUUGUGGCUGAUUAGCUGCUUUCCCUGUGCAAAGGUCAGAGGGCGCAGGGUUUCUGUUGAGUUUGAUCCAUCUUUUAGAUUUAGGGGAGCUAGUCUCAAACGUUUGUUGGGGGAGACCUAGGUUUUUUUUGGGGGGGAGUUAUUUGUCCUGUCUUCACCCUUUUUAUGAUGGAGGACCGCUGUAGCCACCCCCAACGACACGUUCUCAAGAUGGAGGGUGAGGGAACAGCUGCAGUCGCCUGCGGUUCCUGCGCAAUGUUUGCCAUCUUGCCAAAGGUUGCAGGCAGCUUUACCUGCAGCAAUUGCAUGUUGAUUGCCCUCUUAGAAGACAAAGUCCAGCAACUGGAGGAACAUGUAGCUACGCUCCAAAGAAUUAGAGAGCUGGAGCUCUUCUUGGAAGCAACAGAGCACACCGUCUCCACCAAGGAGGAGACAGGGGACUCUCCUGAGAAGGAGGCUAGUUCACCAACACAGGAGCCAGAUAUAUGGAGAAACGUGACUCAAAGAAGUAGGAGGCCCAGGGUUCGCUCUGAUUGUUUAGAAAUACACAAUCGCUUUGAGGUCCUCUCCCCUAGCAUGGAAGAUGAAGAGCAGACUCCAUUUGAGGAUCUCUCCCUCAUUACAGUGGAUCAGGUAUAUGAAGACGAGCAGCAAAGUCAGUCCUCAGGGAAUGUGCAGGCAACCUUGGAACGGACAGCUCACGGAAGAACCCCGACCAAACCCAAGAGGAGGCGUGUAGUGGUGAUAGGGGAUUCCCUACUGAGGGGAACAGAAGCAGUGAUCUGUGAGCCUGACAAGAUGUCUCGGGAAGUGUGCUGUCUCCCCGGGGCUAAGAUCCAAGCUGUAACUGAAAGACUGCAAGGAAUCAUAAAACCCACUGACAAAUACCCCUUCCUCUUGGUUCAUGUGGGAACCAAUGACACUGCAAGCAAUAGCCUCCAGAAGAUCAAAAGAGACUACGAGGCUCUGGGCAGGAAAUUGAAGCAAUUAAAUGCACAAAUUGUCAUCUCAUCCCAGUUGAACGACGUGGCCCAGGGAGAGAGGGAAAAAUAGUGGAAGUGAACAGCUGGCUUCGCAAAUGGUGUAAACAGGAACGGUUUGGAUUCUUAGAUCACGGACUGCAGUUUCUUGAAGAUGGACUUCUGGCAAGCGAUGGGCUGCACCUCACAACGGUUGGGAGGAAUGUUUUUGCCAAAAAUCUCAGAAACCUCAUCAGGAGGGCUUUAAACUGACUAAUGUGGGGGGAGGGAGACAGUGCUCCUGAAGGUAGGAGUCUAUCAAUUCAUGAAGAUGAUCAUCCAAAUGUCAUAGACCAAAUGGAGCAAACAGCACGCAGACCUAGUGGUGGGAGGAAAAAUCCUUAAAUAAGAGACACAGGGAAUGAUUAAUGGACUUCAAUGUCUGUACACUAAUGCGCAAAGCAUGGGAAAUAAACAAGAUGAGCUUGAGCUCUUGGUACAGCAAACUAAAUAUGACAUAAUAGGCAUCACUGAAACCUGGUGGGAUAAGUCCCACGAUUGGAAUGUAAUAAUGGAGGGAUACAAUCUAUUUCAGAGAAACAGACCAGACAAGAAAGGAGGAGGAGUGGCGUUAUAUGUCAGGGAUGUGUAUACCUGUGAAGAGAUCCAAGAUUUAGAACCUCAAAGCCAAAGUGAGAGCAUUUGGGUCAAAAUUAAGGAGAGAAGAAUAACAGUGACCUCAUUGUGGGAGUUUACUAUAGAUCCCCAAGCCAAACGGAGGACAUAGAUGAUGCCUUCCUGGAACAGAUGGCCAAGCAUGCAAAAGGAAGGGAGAUAGUAGUAAUGGGGGACUUCAAUUACCCGGAUAUUUGUUGGAUGUCAAACUCAGCCAAGAGCAUAAGGUCAAACAGAUUCCUCACUGGCCUUGCAGACAACUUCAUUGUCCAGAAAGUGGGAGAAGCAACAAGAGGAACAGCCAUUUUAGAUCUGGUCCUAACCAAUGUUGAUGACCUGGUUAGUGGGGUAGAAGUGGAAGGAUCAUUAGGCGCAAGUGAUCAUGCUCUUCUGAAGUUUACUAUACAGCAGAAAGGAGCAGCCAAGCAUACUAGGACUCAAUUUCUUGACUUUAAGAAAGCCGACUUCAUAAAACUUAGGGAAGUGCUGGGUGAGAUCCCAUGGACAGUAAUACUAAAAGGAAAGGGAGUUCAUGAUGGCUGGGAGUUUGUUAAGAGGGAGAUAGUAAAAGCACAACUUCAGGCAAUACCAAUGAGACGGAAACAUGGAAGGUGCUUAAAGAAGCCAGGGUGGCUAUCUAAAGAACUUUUAACUGAGUUAAGAU
Molecule: non-coding RNA, 3911 nt
Organism: Podarcis lilfordi (Lilford's wall lizard)
Lineage: Eukaryota; Metazoa; Chordata; Lepidosauria; Squamata; Lacertidae
Source: the annotation of a GenBank genome assembly